Molecule: ribosomal RNA, 564 nt
Filed under: uncultured bacterium
Lineage: Bacteria
Description: bacterial SSU rRNA
Rfam family: Bacterial small subunit ribosomal RNA
Source: RNAcentral
AGAGUUUGAUCAUGGCUCAGAUUGAACGCUGGCGGCAUGCCUUACACAUGCAAGUCGAACGGUAACAGGUCUUCGGACGCUGACGAGUGGCGAACGGGUGAGUAAUACAUCGGAACGUGCCCAGUCGUGGGGGAUAACUACUCGAAAGAGUAGCUAAUACCGCAUACGAUCUGAGGAUGAAAGCGGGGGACCUUCGGGCCUCGCGCGAUUGGAGCGGCCGAUGGCAGAUUAGGUAGUUGGUGGGAUAAAAGCUUACCAAGCCGACGAUCUGUAGCUGGUCUGAGAGGACGACCAGCCACACUGGGACUGAGACACGGCCCAGACUCCUACGGGAGGCAGCAGUGGGGAAUCUUGGACAAUGGGCGAAAGCCUGAUCCAGCAAUGCCGCGUGCAGGAUGAAGGCCUUCGGGUUGUAAACUGCUUUUGUACGGAACGAAAAAGCUUCUCCUAAUACGAGAGGCCCAUGACGGUACCGUAAGAAUAAGCACCGGCUAACUACGUGCCAGCAGCCGCGGUAAUACGUAGGGCGCGAGCGUUAAUCGGAAUUACUGGACGUAAAGCGUG